GCACCUGAAUCUUUGCUGUCCCUUGCUGUGCAGUGCAGGUCUGGGGACAGUUGGUGCUACAGCACAGCAGUGGAAAUCCAGAUGGGUUGCUUUCCACUGCCUCGGGAUUCAUUGCUACACCUCUGCAACCCUU
Molecule: small nucleolar RNA, 133 nt
Filed under: Eurypyga helias (sunbittern)
Lineage: Eukaryota; Metazoa; Chordata; Aves; Eurypygiformes; Eurypygidae
Description: Small nucleolar RNA SNORA55
Rfam family: Small nucleolar RNA SNORA55
About the family: ACA55 is a member of the H/ACA class of snoRNA that guide the sites of modification of uridines to pseudouridines.
Source: Rfam by way of RNAcentral